Molecule: long non-coding RNA, 1445 nt
Filed under: Castor canadensis (American beaver)
Lineage: Eukaryota; Metazoa; Chordata; Mammalia; Rodentia; Castoridae
Description: lncRNA (ENSCCNG00000022539.1)
Source: RNAcentral
UUGACAGAAGCCCUGUCGCUCUAUGAAGAACAGCUUGGGCGCCUGUAUUGUCCUGUGGAGUUCUCGAAGGAGAUCGUCUGUGUUCCUUCAUACUUGGAAUUGUGGGUAUUUUACACUGUUUGGAAGAAAGCUAAACCUUGAAGAUGAACAUCCCCUAAUCAUGCGUGCUGCAAAUAGCUUUCCUGACCUCCAUAUGCCGUAUAUGACAUCAAAAUGAGUCAGGCAAUUGAUUGUGAAUUCCUUCAAGUUUUCUCUUUUUAAUAAUUAUUUUUAAUUUAAAAAAAAACGAUGGAAAAUGUAUAUUUUGAGCUCUAGGGCGUUAAUUUUUAGAAAGUCAGCUGGAAGACAAUUAGAUAGCACAGCAAAAACUACGAAAUGCACUGACCCCCUAGAAUGUGAUUUUUGUUACUUUUUGUUUCUACGUGGCUUUAUUUUUGUUGUUGUUUAGUUUUGCUUUGGUUUUGAUAGACCUUCAAUUUGGACGUUUGGAGGAAUGAACAUCAUUGUUUUAUUCUGGAGGGAAGUUCUUGAUGGUGUUUCUUUCCCACAAAAUUGACUUAGUUAUUCAAAUUUGGUGCUUAUAAGAGUUAAAAAAUGAAUAGCAAUGCUUCAAUUAAAAUUACAAAAGAAACAUUUUAUGUGUUCUGUUGUUUUAUUUCAGCCUAGUUCUUAUUUCUAACCUCUGAUGGCCUAAAACAAAGGUAUAUCCUGAACUAUUUUUAGUUCUGUUAUAGUACUCCAUGCUAUUUAUCUCUUUAUAAUAGGAAGGCCUCUGGGCCUUUUUUGAUCAGUAGUAAUGACUUCAUUUACCACUGUGGUAAAUGAUACACAGCCUAUUACUUUCACCACUUCUGCAUUAUAAAGUUGACCUGAGGAUAGCAAAAGAUUUUGCUUGACUAUAAAGUUGAAAGCCAAAACCUUAUUUUUGUUCCCACUCUUACCAGUCUAUUAGAUGUGGAAAUAGAGAUCUUUUUGGAUAGCUGCUAUGAAACUUUGAGAAGACUGUAGGAUGUGCAGAUACACAAUAGCAUUUUUGGAGAGGCCUGGCGAAGAAAAAGAACAACUUGAGAAGUUGUUCUUUUUGUUGCAUGCAUCAACUUGGUAUUGUAUUGUAUGGUGGGUAACAGUGCAUAUCAAAGGUGGGCUUAUGUUGCCUUUGAUUGUUAGACAUCCCUGGGUUAUCCUGUUGUUUCUAUAAGAAGUUUAUAUUUUAUUAGUGGAAUCAGUUCAUGGUGAAAUGGCAAUAAGCAAAACAUUUAAAACGAAAUAUUUCAUGAGAUAGAAUUAGGGUCAGCAUGGAACAUUCUUCAUCCCAAGGUAGGAACAAAUGGUAGAAUAUACAACAAAUGGUCUUUAAAUAUGAUUGUAGGCAUACUUGUUUUUCUUUUUAAUUGGGUUUGCACAGAAGAAACAAUAAGGUAGAAUAAAAAGUAAAGAGAAUCACA